CUUAUCUGUACUGUUUGCCGGCUUGCUGUUUUCCGUGUACCAGACCCCGGCUUGUCCUAGUUUACGCUGUCUCUCUGUGCCCUUGACCUCGGUUUGUUUCUGGCUCUGUCUCCUCUCAUAUACGUCGAGUCCGGCCAUUCUAAGGUCCGGUAGACGUAUCUCUCCUCUGUAUUUGCCUCUGUUUAGCUGGAUCCUGCGUGUAGGGGUAUAUUCUCGUUACAUUACGAUAGGGCCAUGGACCCCGCAGAUUUAGCUCAAC
This is a non-coding RNA of Pelobates cultripes (western spadefoot toad), 259 nucleotides long. NCBI's taxonomy places the organism in Eukaryota, Metazoa, Chordata, Amphibia, Anura, Pelobatidae. The record is from the annotation of a GenBank genome assembly.